GAGUUUGAUCAUGGCUCAGAUUGAACGCUGGCGGCAGGCCUAACACAUGCAAGUCGAGCGGAUGACGGGAGCUUGCUCCUUGAUUCAGCGGCGGACGGGUGAGUAAUGCCUAGGAAUCUGCCUGGUAGUGGGGGACAACGUUUCGAAAGGAACGCUAAUACCGCAUACGUCCUACGGGAGAAAGCAGGGGACCUUCGGGCCUUGCGCUAUCAGAUGAGCCUAGGUCGGAUUAGGCUAGUUGGUGGGGUAAUGGCUCACCAAGGCGACGAUCCGUAACUGGUCUGAGAGGAUGAUCAGUCACACUGGAACUGAGACACGGUCCAGACUCCUACGGGAGGCAGCAGUGGGGAAUAUUGGACAAUGGGCGAAAGCCUGAUCCAGCCAUGCCGCGUGUGUGAAGAAGGUCUUCGGAUUGUAAAGCACUUUAAGUUGGAGGAAGGGCAGUAAGUUAAUACCUUGCUGUUUUGACGUUACCGACAGAAUAAGCACCGGCUAACUCUGUGCCAGCCGCCG
This 513-nucleotide ribosomal RNA is filed under the name bacterium enrichment culture clone ALO1_GLFRUDD03G5IVB. Its description in RNAcentral is "bacterial SSU rRNA". It matches the Rfam family "Bacterial small subunit ribosomal RNA", at positions 9 to 517 of the family's 1533-position model. The record is from RNAcentral.